GUGAUGUGAUUUUCCGAGCAGCUGAAGAUAAUUCUUCUUGAAGUGUUGAAGCAGGGUACCAGAUGGGUGGGAAUUUACAGUCUGUGAGGCAAGCUGUCACUCACAGGAAGUCAGUCUCUGUACAACAUGCUGAAGAAUGUCUUGAUUCCUAGAGUGCAUCAGAUGGCAGCUUGUGUCUGGCGCAUUGCAUAUGCUGCACGUGUAGGACAGCAAGUAUCUGAGACCUAGACCACGAUAACUGGGACUGCAUUCCUGCUCUAAGUGUAAACAGUGUUCUUGUGCAUGCAUGCAUUAUGUUUUUUCAUGUGAGUGCCUGUGUUUUGUGGUAUUCACUACUGUGAUUUGUGAUGCAGAGCAGUUAGGAUUUUAUAGUUUAAUUGCACUGCUGCUGCUGCUGUUGUCAACAGCGACACGCCCAGCCCUUCCCUCUUCAUGUCGCGGUAGGAUAUUUUCACAGGAGGUGGGCACCUGCCUCGGCUUCCUUGCUGAUUGUUUCCAGGACCGGGGGCCUCUGUAGUCCAGACAUUUUUUGCAGUGAGCUAACAUUUCCUUGCAUUAUGGUCGCAGAAUAGCUCUCCUUGUCUAUUGUACUGCAUGUUAAAACUCCUUAUGGAUUUGGGAACAGCGAUUGGGGAAAGUGGAAGGAGGGGAAGGGGGAGAUUCCGGGGAAUUCCAGUGGCAUUCCUAUCAGAUUGCCUUCCUCACUCUUUUCUUUUUUGUUUCAGUGUAAUCAGUGGUGUCAAGGUCAUGUCAGCUCUGUGCUUGUGAAGUAUUAUUAACAAGACCCUGCACUUCCUAGAAAAAAAAAUUAAGCAAAAAGCUCAUUUUGAAAUUGCAAAUUUGACAGAUAUUUUAGAUUUCUCUAAAGACAUAGGAGUAGCAGUGCUCCCUGUAGGAACAAAGAUAUUUGAGUUUGUCCAUCUCAAGAGCGUGUGCCCUCCCCUUAUGUGUAUUUUGAGAAAAGCACACCGCUAUUAGAGUACCUGCCGCAUUACGUUUCACAGUGAUUAGAUCAAAAAAUCCUCCAACAAAGUGCCAACAAAAAGUGCUGCUUCUACACUGGAGAUCCAAAGGAGAAAAGACACAAAGGAAAAAAGACAAAUAAACAAAAUCACGAUUGCAAAAGGCUUCUUAUCUAUGUUGACAGUAAACAGAGAACAGAGGGUGUGUGGUAAGAGAGGAACAGAAAAGGAAGGUCAGUCUGAGUGCUCUCGGCUGGGCUCAUGUUUUUAACCCAGUGAUGCUUGGUUUGACUCCAAAGCCUCAAAGCCAUAUCUGCCACUGCCCUGAUCAUCCAACCAUCCACCUAUUUAUCACUUUGACUCGGAGGGAUAAACGGAAAGCAGUAAAAUGCAUUUAAAAAAGUAAAAGUAUGUUUUUGUUUACAAUAAAUGUACCAAAAUAAGACAUAAGUUAUAAAUUGGUGUGUAACUUCAUUCCAUGCGCUCCUACGCCUCACUACAUUAGAGUACACUAGUUCUCAAACUCCAGAUUGUUCUCAUCACUUUGAUUCAUAUAGCCCUAAUGCUACUAUUUGUACAGUUUUAUGCAGGAUUUUAUUUAAUACUAAAAAACAGCUAGGACGCCCUAACUAUAGGUUGUCCUAUAAUUACUAGCAAAGGUAUUCUGAUAGUGCAGCCGUUCCCAUAGUCAAGAGAGGCCGACUUAAAAGCCAUAAAAAUCCCAUGGAGU
Oreochromis niloticus (Nile tilapia) is the source of this 1692-nucleotide long non-coding RNA. RefSeq lists it as uncharacterized. The transcript has 3 exons. The record is from RefSeq and is a predicted model, not a curated record. NCBI's taxonomy places the organism in Eukaryota, Metazoa, Chordata, Actinopteri, Cichliformes, Cichlidae.